This 1028-nucleotide long non-coding RNA is filed under the name Phaseolus vulgaris (common bean). RNAcentral describes it as "long non-coding RNA (PVUL_LNC000904)". Lineage: Eukaryota; Viridiplantae; Streptophyta; Magnoliopsida; Fabales; Fabaceae. The record is from RNAcentral.
AAUGUUGUUAUAUAAAUCAAUUUGUCAGCCACAAGGUAAGCUCUUCCAAUUACUAUGUGUACAUGUAUUAAGAUUCCAAUGGGAAACAAAUCUUGUCUAAUAUAUGGAUUCUCACUUUUAAGUCAAACAUUGCCACCAGUUAGAAGAGUAGAUUGUAUGAUCUUUUAGUUCUGUAAAAGGACAUUGGAGAAGUUGUAAGAGGGAUUUCAUGGUAAAUAACAUUACUGGAAUAGGGUUGUAUGAUCAUGUAGCUGAUUUCAUCUAACAAGGUGUAUCUAUCAGGAAAUCAUGUUACAACUAGACUUCAUUUGAACGCCCUUCAAAGGGUGUUCUUUAUUGUCAUAUCAUAUCACAUUACAUUUUCCAUUAACCAUGUCUGUCUCAACCACAAUAAGAUAAUUUAACUUAUAAAUAACUUUAAAUAGAAUAUGAUGCUUUAAAACAUAUCAGUAUCCAAUAAUCAAGCUCGGCUUUCCAAAGCAAAUGCAGCAGAGUCAACAUGUAGGAGCAAACAAGAAUAAACUCUUUGCUUCAAUCUGUCAACAGUUUCAAACAUCUCUUCAUUUUCCAAAUUUGUAGUGUUUCUCAGUUUCUCUAACCAUUCAUUUGCUUGCUUAAGGUGUGACAACGUGAGAGCUAUAUGAUUUGCAUGAUUCUUUUUCUUCCCUGCAGUCUCCUUACUCGUCUUUCCCCUCUUCUCUUGGGAGCUUGUGGAAAACCAGAAAUCCAAUGUUUUUUCCAAGUAUUUCAAAAACCAUAAUUUUGUUUCCAUCAAAAGGACCUCUCUCAGUUCAUUUAUCUCUUCUAGACCAUUUCCUGUGGCCCAUUCUUGUUUCUCAGUGUCGGAUAAAUCUGGUGAGUAUUUUGGAGACUUUGAUGAACUUUUCCCAGGCACUAAAACUGAUUUCUUGUAAUUUUUAUCUGUUUCUGUAGGAGAAGAAGUUUUAUAUAGAUUAAGUAAUUUAUCCGUGUGUGGAACUGUGCUUGUACCAUUUGAAUGGUUCAUCAUGAGUUCUUGGAAAGAAAAA